This 460-nucleotide ribosomal RNA is filed under the name uncultured bacterium. Its description in RNAcentral is "partial 16S ribosomal RNA". It matches the Rfam family "Bacterial small subunit ribosomal RNA", at positions 338 to 795 of the family's 1533-position model. The record is from RNAcentral.
CCUACGGGUGGCAGCAGUGAGGAAUAUUGGUCAAUGGACGAGAGUCUGAACCAGCCAAGUAGCGUGAAGGAUGACUGCCCUAUGGGUUGUAAACUUCUUUUAUAUGGGAAUAAAAUGUUCCACGUGUGGGAUUUUGUAUGUACCAUAUGAAUAAGGAUCGGCUAACUCCGUGCCAGCAGCCGCGGUAAUACGGAGGAUCCGAGCGUUAUCCGGAUUUAUUGGGUUUAAAGGGAGCGUAGGUGGAUUGUUAAGUCAGUUGUGAAAGUUUGCGGCUCAACCGGAAAAUUGCAGUUGAAACUGGCAGUCUUGAGUACAGUAGAGGUGGGCGGAAUUCGUGGUGGAGCGGUGAAAUGCUUAGAUAUCACGAAGAACUCCGAUUGCGAAGGCAGUUCACUGGACUGCAACUGACACUGAGGCUCGAAAGUGUGGGUAUCAAACAGGAUUAGAUACCCCAGUAGUC